Molecule: long non-coding RNA, 217 nt
Filed under: Elaeis guineensis (African oil palm)
Lineage: Eukaryota; Viridiplantae; Streptophyta; Magnoliopsida; Arecales; Arecaceae
Description: long non-coding RNA (EGUI_LNC041264)
Source: RNAcentral
CCCUGUUUGGAUUUUCCUUGACUAGGUAUUUGACCUAGACAAGGAUUCUUCAUAUCUCAUUAUUUAAGAUGAAUUUUUUCUUGAAAUUUUCGUGGAUUAUAGAGCAUUGAGAGACCUUUGGGGUGUGUGAAAAUCAGGGAGAAAGAGUGUUGGAGCGUGGAGAUAUAAUCAACACAAAAUUAAGUAUCUGGGUUAGAGCAAAGAGAAGAAGAAGAGG